Molecule: ribosomal RNA, 310 nt
Filed under: uncultured bacterium
Lineage: Bacteria
Description: bacterial SSU rRNA
Rfam family: Bacterial small subunit ribosomal RNA
Source: RNAcentral
AGCGAACGCUGGCGGCGUACUUAACACAUGCAAGUCGAACGGGGAUCGACACGUGAGCAAUCACGUGGCGGUCUUAGUGGCGUACGGGUGAGUAACACGUGGGCAACCUGCCCUUGAGUCUGGGAUAACCUCCCGAAAGGGAGGCUAAUACCGGAUACGGUCCUCGGGUCGCGAGAUCUGAGGAAGAAAGGUGGCGCAAGCUACCGCUCUUGGAGGGACUCGCGGCCUAUCAGCAGUUGGUGAGGUAACGGCUCACCAAGGCUAUGACGGGUAGCUGGUCUGAGAGGACGACCAGCCACACGGGGACUGA